This is a long non-coding RNA of Chenopodium quinoa (quinoa), 1101 nucleotides long. RefSeq lists it as uncharacterized. The transcript is spliced from 6 exons. Lineage: Eukaryota; Viridiplantae; Streptophyta; Magnoliopsida; Caryophyllales; Amaranthaceae. The record is from RefSeq and is a predicted model, not a curated record.
GCUAAAAGGCUCUGUUUUACCACUUUCCUCCAAAUUCUCAAACCGACAAACCGUAACUCCUCUAAAAGGCUUGCACAACCCAGACGCCACUGCCCCGCUGCCCGCACGUAGAUCGGCGACCGCCUCACCGUUCCCGGCGCUCCGCACGCCAGAACCCAGAUCGGAGUCCAGGCCCUCCACCGUGUCACCGUGAGCUGUUGCGGAUUUGCGCCUUUGCGGCCUUGCGUUGCCCACUUUGCCGGUUUCCUUUAAGGCUUUAAUUAAGUCGAUUAGAAGGGGAUAAUCAGUGCUCGGUGCUCCACUGCUCCGUCAUCCACUCAUCCAUAUUUCGUGGCUCUGUAGAAUUUGGCCCAAGUGAGAGGUGGUGGAAGGAGAUUGAAUACUGAAAAUGAGUCUUCGUCAAAUGUUGAGCCAGCAACGUGCGAAGACCAUCAUCAUCAUCUGUUGCUGGAGGCUUACCUCCGUUAGUGAGAUCGCAUCCGGGGUCUCAGGCAUCUGAGAGGAGAGCAGGGUCUUCUACAUCUAGCUACAGGAAAGAUGAUUACAACUGGAGAUAUGAUGGUGAAGAAUUGCCAGAGGAUGUGAUGCGUGCUUCAGCUGCCCUGGAAAAUUUACAAUUGGAUAGGAAUACUCGGAAUCUAACUUCUUCAUGGAGGUCUAUCUCCCCUCCUCUCUAGUUAGAGCUAACCUUUUUUCUGGAGCAUGGUGGGGAUGGAUUCUCCGAGGAUGACGGAGUAGAUCACAUGUAACCUGUACCACUUCACUUGUGUUUAUGCUUAUCUUUGCGGUCCAUAUGCGAGUACCAUUGUGAUUAGUUUAUCGAGGUAGUGAGUUUUAUGAUCUUAUAUAUGGUGAAUCUGCAAUGUAAUUCAUUUCUUUCUAUUGUGUGUUUUUCCAAUCUAAUUCAGAAUUUGUGGCCCUCUGCCUUUGAACUUAUUGUAGCUCCUUGUCUGCGGGUUAUUUUCUUGCAAGAGUUGCUCGUGAUUAUUGUACGAAUGAUUUGAGCUUCAUCUAUUAUAUGCAUUUGAUAGGGUAUAGUCACUGAAGGCAGCUCACGAAAUAAAUUUGGGCGACCAUUUCUAAGGUCAUGCCGAAUUGCUG